AACGAACGCUGGCGGCAGGCCUAACACAUGCAAGUCGAGCGAGGACUUCGGUCCUAGCGGCGGACGGGUGAGUAACGCGUGGGAACGUGCCCUUUGCUACGGAAUAGCCCUGGGAAACUGGGAGUAAUACCGUAUGUGCCCUUCGGGGGAAAGAUUUAUCGGCAAAGGAUCGGCCCGCGUUGGAUUAGGUAGUUGGUGGGGUAAUGGCCUACCAAGCCGACGAUCCAUAGCUGGUUUGAGAGGAUGAUCAGCCACACUGGGACUGAGACACGGCCCAGACUCCUACGGGAGGCAGCAGUGGGGAAUCUUAGACAAUGGGGGAAACCCUGAUCCAGCCAUGCCGCGUGAUCGAUGAAGGCCUUAGGGUUGUAAAGAUCUUUCAGCUGGGAAGAUAAUGACGGUACCAGCAGAAGAAGCCCCCGGCUAACUCCGUG
Molecule: ribosomal RNA, 434 nt
Filed under: uncultured bacterium
Lineage: Bacteria
Description: bacterial SSU rRNA
Rfam family: Bacterial small subunit ribosomal RNA
Source: RNAcentral